UACGUAGGAUGCAAGCGUUGUCCGGAAUUAUUGGGCGUAAAGAGUUUGUAGGCGGUUGCUUAAGGCUGUCGUUAAAGGGCGGAGCUCAACUCCGGUAUGGCGAUGGAAACUGGGCGGCUAGAGUAUGACAGAGGUAACUGGAAUUCCAGGUGUAGCGGUGAAAUGCGUAGAUAUCUGGAGGAACACCAGUGGCGAAAGCGGGUUACUGGGUCAUUACUGACGCUGAAGAACGAAAGCCAGGGUAGCAAAAGGG
Molecule: ribosomal RNA, 253 nt
Filed under: uncultured prokaryote
Description: partial 16S ribosomal RNA
Rfam family: Bacterial small subunit ribosomal RNA
Source: RNAcentral